RNAcentral lists this ribosomal RNA (253 nucleotides) under uncultured bacterium. RNAcentral describes it as "partial 16S ribosomal RNA". It matches the Rfam family "Bacterial small subunit ribosomal RNA", at positions 524 to 776 of the family's 1533-position model. The record is from RNAcentral.
UACAGAGGGGGCUAGCGUUGUUCGGAAUUACUGGGCGUAAAGCGCGCGUAGGCGGCUUUGUAAGUUAGAGGUGAAAGCCCGGAGCUCAACUCCGGAAUUGCCUUUAAGACUGCAUCGCUAGAAUCAUGGAGAGGUGAGUGGAAUUCCGAGUGUAGAGGUGAAAUUCGUAGAUAUUCGGAAGAACACCAGUGGCGAAGGCGACUCACUGGACAUGUAUUGACGCUGAGGUGCGAAAGCGUGGGGAGCAAACAGG